AUGAGUAGCUCGUGCUCUUCUGCAGCUGUGGUGGAUGAGGGUAAUGCGAAGAUGGCAGUGAGGGGGUGGGUCGGGUGGGAGGAGGAGAUCGUGAUGGAGGACAAUGACGGCGAGGAGUGCAAGGUGUGCUACUUCCUUCGCUCUGCACCGCCCCAGGAUGGCGGUAAGAGCGAGAGGGAUCUGGCGGUGGUGGGUAAGUAUUGGGAACCUGGGAACAUAGCCUACUCGGCAGACUUGCAGUUCCUGAAGUCCCUCCAGACGGCACUGGAGUCUGGGUCACCGUCCGCUAGGGUGGUGACGGUGGCGAUGGAGACCACUCAACUCAGGUGGACGUCCAGGAAGGAGGUCAUGGACUGGCUCACGUCGCUCGUCUUAGAUCCUCCGUAUGGAGCCUUUGGAUUCACUUGUCCCGACAACCAUGAUGGUGCAUCUAAGGAUACCCUCUCAACACUUGCUGCUGCUGGGGAGAACAAACAAGGGUUCACAUGGAUAUGCAAACUGCCCCAUCUUGAUCAACAUCGGAAGCAUUACAAAUCCUUUUGCCGAGAGGGAAUGAGAAUUUCGGUUCAUGAUUUUGUGUUCAUCAAGAGUGGAGGGAGAGAGAGCCAUGUUGCCUAUGUGGAAGACAUGUAUGAAGAUAGUAGCGCCAAGAACAUGGUGCUGGUACGAUGGUUUGAGGAACCUGAUGGUGAACAUGGUGUUGUAUUGCCCCCUGAUCUUUAUCGCAAGGAGAUCUUGUUUGCCUAUGGGCUGCAAGAUCUGAGGGUUCAAUUUGUGGAGGGAGUGGCCGCGGUCCUGAAUCCACAACACUUUGACAUGUUCAACAAAAUAAGUGGAGGGCACAGCAGCUGGCAGCCCUAUGUAUGCAGUCGGCAGAUCGAAGAUGACAUUGUCGGACCCUUUGACAUCACGCAGCUGCAAGGAUAUGCAAACCAGGAGAUCGUAAAGGAAAUUGUUGCCGCAUCCUCGUCCACGGCGGUGCAGGCCAAGCCACCCAAUAACAAAGGUAAAGCUGAAAUUACUGGCAUGGCUGCCGAGAACCAUGCUGGUUCUUCUGGCACUGUCUUCGGUGACAAAACCAUGCAGAAGCAGAAGCCACCUGCAUGCAAUGCAACUCCUUUCAGUUCCAGCUCUAUUAUCGGUGAAAAAACCAUGGAGAAGCAGAAGCAGAAAUCUCCUCCAUGCAGUGCAACUCCUUCCAGCUAUGUUAUUGGUGACAAGACCAUGGAGAAGCAGAAGCAGAACCCCCCUCCAUGUAGCGCAACUACUUCCAGCUCCGUUAUCGUUGACGAAACCAUGGAUAAGCAGAAACAGAAUCAGAAUCAGAAGGAGAUGCCCCCUCCAUGUAGCACAACUGCUUCCAGCUCUGUUAUCGUUGAUAAAACCAUGGAGAAGGAAAAGCAGGAGCAGAAGGAGAUGCCCCCUCCAUGCACUGCAACUCCACAAAGUGUCACCAAUGGCCAGACCGUUGAAAGCAGUGUCAUUCCUUGCAGCGUGGUGAACUGUCAGACCACCACGCUGAAUCAGCCGCCGCCAAGUGGUACUGGUACUAGUAAUGCGGCAGCCAAUGAUGCAUCAACCAUGGUGAACCCUGAGAAGAUGUUCCAGCCUGGCUGCUGUCUUGAAGCCCUGUGCCAAGACAGCAGCAUGAGGGGCUGUUGGUUCAAAUGUGUGGUACUCAGGAGGAGGGAGAAAGAUAACAAGGUCAGGGUGCAGUACCAAGACCUUUCGAAUUCCGAGGAUAAAGGACAACUCAGGGAAUGGCUCAAAGUUGCAAGAAUUGCGGAACCUGACCACCUAGGCAUACGCCUUACUGAAAGGCCCAUGCUCCGCCCACAGCUCCCAACAUGCUACAGGAAGAUCGAGUCUCCGGUGGCUGUCGGGGUCAUCGUCGAUGUGUGGCUAAAUGGCGGAUGGUGGGAGGGGAUCGUGCUGCAGCAGGACAAUGUUGGUCAUGUCCUAGUUUAUCUCCAAGGGGAGGGGAGACUUGUGGAGAUCAAAGUAGACUCUCUGCGAAAGUCAUUUGAGUGGCGUGAGGAGCAAUGGAUACCUCUAGAUGCAAGAAAAGAUGUUGCAGCCAAGAUAACCCUUGACCUGAAGAAGCAGAAGGGCAUCCAGCAAUCUGCAAUGAAGAAGGAUGGUGGGAGCUCUUCCAAACAGAAGGCUCAGAAGAUGGGUGAGCAAUCUAGGCAGACGGCGGCGACCGCAGCACUCACAGCCGCAGAGCUAGCCGCACCAAGCCUAGGACUGUUGCAGCCUUGGGAGAAAGGUGAUGAUGAAACUGCAAACUCUACUCCUCCAUGGAAGAGGUUCCUGGACCAGGGCUACUCUUUCAAGGAAAAAGGACUGGAGGAGCAGGCUAAAAAGAACAAGGGUCCUAUUGAUGAAGCUGCAACGCCAGUUACAGAGGAGGGAGAUGGCAUGUCCCGCGGUGAUAGCUCACCUUAUGCCAAGCGGUGCCGGGUUGAUCCUACAAACUCUGAUGGCCUGAAUGGCGCUAAACACAAGGGCAAGGCUAGAAAAUCUUCUCGCGCAAAGAAAACAGGGUCUUUGGAGGGCAGUAACCAGGGAGGCACCAGUGGCUCUGCCUCUACUAGAUGCGCUGCGUCGGUGAACACGGUGCCUAUGGAGGAUAUAUGUAUAACAAGUGGAGAGGCUCCUGUCGUCGCUAUGGACAAAUUGGAGGUGAUCGACCUGACCAUGUACGACUGA
This 2712-nucleotide ribosomal RNA is filed under the name Triticum aestivum (bread wheat). Its description in RNAcentral is "partial small subunit ribosomal RNA". The record is from RNAcentral. Lineage: Eukaryota; Viridiplantae; Streptophyta; Magnoliopsida; Poales; Poaceae.